GAUGAACGCUAGCGGCAGGCUUAAUACAUGCAAGUCGUGGGGCAGCAGGACUGUAGCAAUACAGUUGCUGGCGACCGGCACACGGGUGCGGAACACGUACGCAACUUACCCUGAACUGGGGGAUAGCCCGGGGAAACCCGGAUUAAUACCCCGUAAUAUAAUGGAGUGGCAUCACUUUAUUAUUAAAGCUCCGGCGGUUCGGGAUUGGCGUGCGGCUGAUUAGGUAGUUGGUUGAGGUAACGGCUCACCAAGCCUACGAUCAGUAACUGGUGUGAGAGGACGACCAGUCAAACGGGCACUGAGACACGGGCCCGACUCCUACGGGAGGCAGCAGUAAGGAAUAUUGGGCAAUGGAGGCAACUCUGACCCAGCCAUGCCGCGUGGAGGAGGAAGGCCCUCUGGGUUGUAAACUUCUUUUAUAGGGGAAGAAACCUGUGUAUUCUUACGCAGUUGACGGUACCCUAGGAAUAAGCACCGGCUAACUCAGUG
RNAcentral lists this ribosomal RNA (489 nucleotides) under uncultured bacterium. RNAcentral's name for it is "partial 16S ribosomal RNA". It matches the Rfam family "Bacterial small subunit ribosomal RNA", at positions 28 to 507 of the family's 1533-position model. The record is from RNAcentral.